UGUUGUCAUUUCUCUAGAAACUUCUUACUUUCAUUUACUCCUUAGGCUGGGAGAUCAAAACUCAGAAAACAAAAACUCACUCAUCUCCCUCCUCACUCUCUCUCACUGACUCUCUUGCUAUCCUCAUCAUGCUCGGCUUCCUCCUCUCUGUUCACAAGCACCGUUGAGCAUCCGACCGCCACUCCUUCGUCUCCUCUCUCCCGCCGCUUAUACUAUUGUUGUUGUCGUUGUUGGGCGUUGUUGUUGUUGUGGAUAAAAGAGAUCUUGCCCCUCUCUUAUUCUCCCUCCAUCUUCUCUUUCGCCGCCGCCGCCGGUGGUGGCCUCCGACCCACCGUCUCUCACUCCAUCGUCGAAUGGUAAUUGAUUUUAACUCCUUCCUUAAUUGAUUGAUUAAAUUGAUUUAAGAACAUAAACCCUAAAUCACAUAUUUUCUCUCUCUUCUUGUUGUUUGGGUGCGCCGCCCUCCCUAUUCCGGCGGCCGCUGCUGUGGUGGCUGGAGUUGUUGGCUGGUGUUGUUUCUCUUGCUAAAGGUAUCAUCUACACUCUACCUCACUCCUCCGCUCUCCCCUACCGUGUCUCUCCUCCUUGAUCGUCGAAGCUCCACGACGGCUGCCAGAGCUGCGGCCGUUGUCGUUGAUGUUGAUGGAGUUGUUAAUUCCCUGAGGUUGAUCUCUUCCAUUCCACCUCACUCCUCCAUUUAAAUUUAAGGAGUUAAGAUGUUUUGCAGGUAACAGGAAUCGAGUCUAAGUCCAUGUUGAAGGUGCCUAGAGCUCUCCAAGUUCCCUAGUAUGUCAAGGCAGGGUUAUAAAUUAUCUAAGUGUGAUUUCUUCGGUCUCGAGUUUAUUAAUGUGUUGUAUUAUUCCUCUUAAGAGUUUAAUUUAUAAAUUAUGGAUUCAAGUUAUGGUUUGGGUUGUAAUUAAGCAAGAUAUUUGAGUUAAAUUUUCUUAACUUAA
Molecule: long non-coding RNA, 953 nt
Organism: Spinacia oleracea (spinach)
Lineage: Eukaryota; Viridiplantae; Streptophyta; Magnoliopsida; Caryophyllales; Amaranthaceae
Exons: 2
Source: RefSeq, a predicted model, not a curated record